This is a long non-coding RNA of Aricia agestis (brown argus), 78 nucleotides long. RefSeq lists it as uncharacterized. The record is from RefSeq and is a predicted model, not a curated record. NCBI's taxonomy places the organism in Eukaryota, Metazoa, Arthropoda, Insecta, Lepidoptera, Lycaenidae. The transcript has 3 exons.
CAAACAGCAGCGCAGACGAACAAACGUGCAUCAAACAAGUUUGUCAAACAAUUAGCUAGAAUCGGUAUAGUACGCCGC